RNAcentral lists this ribosomal RNA (497 nucleotides) under uncultured bacterium. Its description in RNAcentral is "partial 16S ribosomal RNA". It matches the Rfam family "Bacterial small subunit ribosomal RNA", at positions 28 to 507 of the family's 1533-position model. The record is from RNAcentral.
GAUGGACGCUGGCGGCGUGCCUAAUACAUGCAAGUCGAGCGAACGGACGAGAAGCUUGCUUCUCUGAUGUUAGCGGCGGACGGGUGAGUAACACGUGGAUAACCUACCUAUAAGACUGGGAUAACUUCGGGAAACCGGAGCUAAUACCGGAUAAUAUUUUGAACCGCAUGGUUCAAAAGUGAAAGACGGUCUUGCUGUCACUUAUAGAUGGAUCCGCGCUGCAUUAGCUAGUUGGUAAGGUAACGGCUUACCAAGGCAACGAUGCAUAGCCGACCUGAGAGGGUGAUCGGCCACACUGGAACUGAGACACGGUCCAGACUCCUACGGGAGGCAGCAGUAGGGAAUCUUCCGCAAUGGGCGAAAGCCUGACGGAGCAACGCCGCGUGAGUGAUGAAGGUCUUCGGAUCGUAAAACUCUGUUAUUAGGGAAGAACAUAUGUGUAAGUAACUGUGCACAUCUUGACGGUACCUAAUCAGAAAGCCACGGCCAACUACGUG